GCAAGUCGAACGAUGAAGCAGCUGCUUGCAGUUGUGGAUUAGUGGCGGACGGGUGAGUAACGCGUGGGAAUCUACCUGGUAGUGGGGGAUAGCCCGGAGAAAUCCGGAGUAAUACCGCAUACCUUCUACGGAAGAAAGGCUUCGGCCGCUACCAGAUGAGCCCGCGUUAGAUUAGCUAGUUGGUGAGGUAAUGGCUCACCAAGGCAACGAUCUAUAGCUGGUCUGAGAGGAUGAUC
RNAcentral lists this ribosomal RNA (236 nucleotides) under uncultured bacterium. RNAcentral describes it as "partial 16S ribosomal RNA". It matches the Rfam family "Bacterial small subunit ribosomal RNA", at positions 57 to 305 of the family's 1533-position model. The record is from RNAcentral.